Molecule: long non-coding RNA, 463 nt
Organism: Oncorhynchus gorbuscha (pink salmon)
Lineage: Eukaryota; Metazoa; Chordata; Actinopteri; Salmoniformes; Salmonidae
Exons: 5
Source: RefSeq, a predicted model, not a curated record
GACCAACUGAGAGACAAGAAACUGAUUCAUCAUUAAGCACGUGUCCUUCAGUUCAGAGUGAAACGUAACUCAACCGUAGAGCAUUGAGAAGCCGGUGUUUCUGAGACUACAAGAAGGUCCACUAUACAGUAAGUUCCAUCACAACUCAUCCAGCUUGGCCGUUCAAUAUCUAAAGAAUGAGAAAAAGGACCAGGAAGAAGUCAUAAUGGUUCUAUGGUGUCUCUAUGUCAUCCUGCUCCUCCCCCUACUAACCUGCUCCAGCCAACCACAGUCCUGUCUGCAGUGUGUCAAUGACUUCAUCAGUAACAUCACGUGUGUGUUGAACAACACAUGCAUACCCCCAGACAUACCGUGCACUCUGCAUGGUGAAUACCCCGGGUUUAAAAGGCAAUGUGAGAUGAAGUCCUUGGCUGGUUUCAACACAACCUUGAGAGGCGGCAGUCUGGUCUUUGAGGGCAAUCCA